CCCUUACUAUGUUUAUAUUAAUACAGAAUGCCUUCUCUUUUUCCCCACAUGUCCAACUUACACUCAUUCUCAAAAAUCAGCCCAAACCCCACCUCUAUGAGCUUUCAGGGGCCACCUUCCCAACAGGACGGCAAGAAUUCUGUAGCCUCAUCACAGGUACUCGGGCCAGGCACGCAGUGGAUGGAUGCCCACCAAAGAGUGCACAGCGUUUCUUCCCGUUCCUUGGUUGCCUGUAAGCCAAUGGUGAACCCCUGGAUGACCAAGCUGCUGCCCGUUUAGCUAACGGCCGCGAGGCUGACUGCUGACGUCACAGACCAAAGUCAGAGGAGAAGAUGGAGAGGGAGCCCCGGGCUGCUCAUCAUUGUUACUGACUCCAGCUAGGUUGUUACUAAACUCUUCUAAAAUGCAGA
RNAcentral lists this long non-coding RNA (410 nucleotides) under Equus asinus (donkey). Its description in RNAcentral is "lncRNA (ENSEASG00005033782.1)". Lineage: Eukaryota; Metazoa; Chordata; Mammalia; Perissodactyla; Equidae. The record is from RNAcentral.